UACGAUCUGGACCUGAUGCGGAGAACGG
This 28-nucleotide small RNA is filed under the name Bombyx mori (domestic silkworm). RNAcentral's name for it is "ovarian small RNA-21035". Lineage: Eukaryota; Metazoa; Arthropoda; Insecta; Lepidoptera; Bombycidae. The record is from RNAcentral.